RNAcentral lists this ribosomal RNA (468 nucleotides) under uncultured bacterium. RNAcentral's name for it is "partial 16S ribosomal RNA". It matches the Rfam family "Bacterial small subunit ribosomal RNA", at positions 28 to 507 of the family's 1533-position model. The record is from RNAcentral.
GACGAACGCUGGCGGCGUGCUUAACACAUGCAAGUCGAACGGAAAGGCUCCAGCUUGCUGGAGUACUCGAGUGGCGAACGGGUGAGUAACACGUGGGUGAUCUGCCCUGCACUUCGGGAUAAGCCUGGGAAACUGGGUCUAAUACCGGAUAGGACCGCACUUUGGUGUGUGUGGUGGAAAGGUUUUUCUGGGGUGGGAUGAGCUCGCGGCCUAUCAGGUUGUUGGUGGGGUAAUGGCCUACCAAGACGGCGACGGGUAGCCGGCCGGAGAGGGUGGACGGGCACAUUGGGACUGAGAUACGGCCCAGACGCCGACGGGGGGCAGCAGUGGGGAAUAGUGCACAAUGGGGGAAACCCUGAUGCAGCGACGCCGCGUGGGGGAUGAAGGACUUCUGGUUGUAAACUCCUUUCGCUAGGGACGAAGCUUUUUGUGACGGUACCUGGAGAAGAAGCACCGGCUAACUACGUG